AGACACCUGAUAGAGAAGCUGGCAGGCGCAGCAGAUGACAGGUACGGCAGAGGCGGAGGGAUACGGCAGAGGCGGAGGGAUACGCCGGCUGCGCUGCGCUGUUUAAUAUAGAUCUGCUGCGAUAAGGCAAAACAAAGCAGACAGGAUGCGUCCAUCAGGCAGGGGGAAGGAGUUCAGAGGAAAUUGCCACAAUAAAGUACACACUCGCACGCUGACACACAACUGGAUGCAGGGGUACAGUACAGAGGAGGUUCGAGGAGGUGAGCCUGACCAGCAGGAAGCAGGGGCAGAUGGCCACCCAGCAGACCCUCCAGAAACACCCCGGGUAGAAACCAAGCAUGAUCUGGACGUCAUUACAGAAGCGCUACUGGAACUGUUACAACCUCCAACUCACCAUAGAACCAGGAAACAGCGAUGACUUCAAGCAGGACGACGGUAAUGACUGCGGGGCCCGUGGCGUACUCCUCGAACAGCUUCACCACAAACGCCCCUCCCUGCAGCACAACACGCUUGGAAUGACUCCUGUGCACAAGGCCUCGUGUCCAAAGCCUGACUCCACCAAAGAGACUAAUAUGUUGUGAGUGCUGAAUGGAGCAGUCACUUCCUUACUAUAAUGAGGGCUGGAGAUAAAGAGAUUACGUGAGCUGCUCUAAUCUGAUUUCAGAAAACGCUUACCUGCCAUCCAGCAUACUACUAUAAAUAAAGCAAAAUAUGCCUUGACAACAAUAAGAACUUUAAAGGAACUAUAAGCAUUAAA
This is a long non-coding RNA of Betta splendens (Siamese fighting fish), 757 nucleotides long. RefSeq lists it as uncharacterized. Lineage: Eukaryota; Metazoa; Chordata; Actinopteri; Anabantiformes; Osphronemidae. The record is from RefSeq and is a predicted model, not a curated record. The transcript is spliced from 3 exons.